UUGGGAAUCUUGCACAAUGGGGGAAACCCUGAUGCAGCGACGCCGCGUGGAGGACGAAGGCCUUAGGGUCGUAAACUCCUUUUGCACGGAAAGACUUAGGACGGUACCGUGCGAAUAAGCCCCGGCUAACUACGUGCCAGCAGCCGCGGUAAGACGUAGGGGGCAAGCGUUGUCCGGAUUUACUGGGCGUAAAGCGCUCGUAGGCGGUCUGUUAAGUGAGAAGUGAAAUCUCCAGCGCUCAACGCGGAAAUUGCUUUUCAUACUGGCAGACUGGAGGAAUGCAGAGGUAAGUGGAAUUCCCGGUGUAGCGGUGACAUGCAUUGAUAUCGGGAGGAACACCCAUGGCGAAGGCAGCUUACUGGGCAUUUCCUGACGCUGAGGAGCGAAAGCGUGGGUAGCA
This 400-nucleotide ribosomal RNA is filed under the name uncultured bacterium. Its description in RNAcentral is "bacterial SSU rRNA". It matches the Rfam family "Bacterial small subunit ribosomal RNA", at positions 355 to 770 of the family's 1533-position model. The record is from RNAcentral.